AUUGAACGCUGGCGGCAUGCCUUACACAUGCAAGUCGAACGGCAGCACGGGAGCAAUCCUGGUGGCGAGUGGCGAACGGGUGAGUAAUAUAUCGGAACGUGCCCAGUCGUGGGGGAUAACUACUCGAAAGAGUAGCUAAUACCGCAUACGAUCUACGGAUGAAAGCGGGGGAUCGCAAGACCUCGCGCGAUUGGAGCGGCCGAUAUCAGAUUAGGUAGUUGGUGGGGUAAAAGCCCACCAAGCCUGCGAUCUGUAGCUGGUCUGAGAGGACGACCAGCCACACUGGAACUGAGACACGGUCCAGACUCCUACGGGAGGCAGCAGUGGGGAAUUUUGGACAAUGGGCGCAAGCCUGAUCCAGCAAUGCCGCGUGCAGGACGAAGGCCUUCGGGUUGUAAACUGCUUUUGUACGGAGCGAAAAGGUCUCUACUAAUACUAGGGGCUCAUGACGGUACCGUAAGAAUAAGCACCGGCUAACUACGUG
This 484-nucleotide ribosomal RNA is filed under the name uncultured organism. RNAcentral's name for it is "bacterial SSU rRNA". It matches the Rfam family "Bacterial small subunit ribosomal RNA", at positions 30 to 507 of the family's 1533-position model. The record is from RNAcentral.